GUGUUUAGGGAUAAAAACCUUGGACCAUGCCACUGGCGAGGUCGUAAGUAUAUUCAAAACUGCUGCAGCCUGAUACUUAUUGCUAGCAAAAGGCCAUAUAAACCCCGGAAUCCCUUGAGUUACUACUUGCAAAGCACCAGGCCUUAGUUGCGUAAGCUUCCUCCACUUCAGUUUCAUCUUAUUCUUUAGAGUUAAGAAAUCUAUUUCCUUUCCCGCGGAGACCGGAGAAGCCAGAAGAUAAAAGAGAGUUUAUAUGUCUGGCCCAAAAGAAAAGCUCACUGGUAAAAUUUAUUUAUGGGUCAAUCAAUCCAUUCAUUCAGCAACAAUGCCUGGCCCAAGUACUUUCAACUCUUCCAACUUCAAAUUAGGGUGAACCACCAGCAUUAACCAAAAACAAAACCAAUAAAAACAUACAUAAAGCGGCAAAGGCUAGCCUAGCCGUUCGUUCAUGGACGCUUAAGAAAUUUCGUUCAUAAGGUACGAUAUCGUUUUCCGUGUCUUCCAGCUUUUCCAGUUUUGUUCCUAAAUUUGUGUUCCACUGAAGUGGGAAGUUGAGAAUGUCUAAAGAGGCAGGCUUAAAUCUUAAGCUCAACAAAAAAAUAAAGGUUUCUUUGGGGAAACCUAAGAAUUACAUUAACAGGGAUGCAACUAAACCUAGUGUUGAAAAGGACGGUGUUAUUGGUGGGAAGACCAACUCUGAAAGUAGAAGACUUAAAGAUGAUGGGAGAAGAAUGAGAGUUGAUUCUCAUAAGAAUUUAGAGGCAAACCAUAAGAAGGUUUCAUCUGGAAAACACUCGAAGACGGUCAAGGGUGACUUAAACAAAGAGAGAAAAAGCAAUGUCAAAGCUUCUCCUCCCUUAGAGAGAGCUACUUCUCGUAACCCUAAGAAUGGCGGCACUAGAGCAAAAGAAAUAGAAAUAGAUAGUACUCCAAAUGAUUCAUCAAAGAAACAUGCCAAUGCCAGAGCCAACUCAACUAAAAAAGUAGUUCGGGUUAGAAAAAGCUUAAAAACUGAUUCAGAAGCUGUAGAUGAUAAGCCGAAGAAAAAAAAGCGGGUAAUCCGUUUAGAUCCUUAUGAUAUCUCAAACAAGCGGCUUGAUGAUGGCAUUGCAACUGAUGAAAGUAAAAAGGAUAAGAAAAAGGAUUUGGAGGAAAAUGCUGCCAUGUCAAAGAAUGCGCAAUUCCGUGGAAUACAGCCCAGUCCGUCCAUCCUUUCCUUUGUGGAAGAUAAUUUGUUAGGGCGUAGACGAUCUAUUGAGAUCCAGAGAGCAGGCUAUAACACUGAGCUUUCUGCCCCAUUAGAUAAUAUCCCUUUUUCUACCAAUCCGGAAAGGGAACGCAUUGAGGAAAAUAUAUUUAGGAACAAGUUGCAGUUUUUCGCUGCUGCAAAGGUUUCAUCUUCAUUUCCUGCUCUUGAUAUUCCUGAGAUCGCAUUUGCAGGGAGGUCAAAUGUUGGGAAGUCAUCUCUACUUAACGCACUUACCAGACAAUGGGGUGUUGUACGGACAUCAGACAAACCAGGCCUCACUCAAAGUAUUAAUUUCUUCCAGUUGGGAUCGAAGCUCUGCCUGGUUGAUUUGCCUGGCUAUGGCUUUGCUUAUGCAAAGGAAGAAGUUAAGGAGGCGUGGGAAGAGCUUGUGAAGGAGUAUGUUUCAACAAGAGUUGGUCUAAAACGAGUGUGCCUGCUCAUUGAUACAAAGUGGGGUAUGAAGCCUAGAGAUAAUGAACUUAUUGAUCUCAUGGAAAGAUCUCAAACAAAAUACCAGAUUGUCUUAACCAAGACAGAUACAGUGUUCCCAAUUGAUGUGGCACGUCGUGCAAUGCAAAUUGAAGAGGGCCUCAAGGCAAAUAGAUCUAUAGUUCAACCUGUGAUGAUGGUGAGCUCAAAAUCCGGAGCUGGUAUCCGAAGUUUAAGAACUGUCCUUUCUAAGAUCGCUAGGUUUGCCAAGAUCUAAUUGUGGCCAGGUAUCAUCUACUAAUCAAUGACAUCAGGAAUGACUUCCAACUUGAUAGAUUUACCUUUUGACUAGUUUUAUUUUCCUUGCAGGAUGUGUCCUAGUGCAGAUGCAACUACUUCAGUGUUGGCAGGUGACCUGCUCUUGUCGUUGUUGUCAGCUUGAAGUUAUUUAAUCAAACAGGAAAUGAUAUUAUUAUGUAGAGGUAUUGGUGGGUUGUCUCACUCUUUCUGUGGCAUCAGAUGUAACUGUAUAAGGGAUUUUUAUGAUUGUUUUUCUUUUUUUGUAAGAUUUCCCAAAAGAAAAGCAAAAUGAAGUGUUGAAAACUUGUUACGUGAUAAA
Gossypium arboreum is the source of this 2297-nucleotide RNA transcript. RefSeq lists it as uncharacterized. The record is from RefSeq and is a predicted model, not a curated record. The transcript is spliced from 12 exons. NCBI's taxonomy places the organism in Eukaryota, Viridiplantae, Streptophyta, Magnoliopsida, Malvales, Malvaceae.